Molecule: unclassified non-coding RNA, 364 nt
Filed under: soil metagenome
Description: partial contains 5.8S ribosomal RNA, internal transcribed spacer 2, and large subunit ribosomal RNA
Rfam family: 5.8S ribosomal RNA (bases 1-120)
Source: RNAcentral
GAUGAAGAACGCAGUGAAGUGCGAUAAGUAAUGUGAAUUGCAGAAUUCCGUGAAUCAUCGAAUUUUUGAACGCAAAUUGCACUUUCUGAUAUUCCGGAGAGUAUGCCUGUUUGAGGGUCAGUAAAAUAAAAUCGAUGUUGUUGUCAUCAUGAUAACACGUCGGAAUUGGGUCGUCUUAUCUUCGGUUAAGUGACUUAAAAUUUUUACGCGAAUUCGAAACGUAUUUAAUGUUUAUGUACGUUUGCGAUAUUCCAAUAUUAUUAGGUGCGGUCAUUCCUAUGAUUCGCGUCUAUAAUUUUUCAUUUCUUGACCUCAAAUCAGGUAAGAGUACCCGCUGAACUUAAGCAUAUCAAUAAGCGGAGGA